AGUUUGAUCAUGGCUCAGGACGAACGCUGGCGGUAUGCUUAACACAUGCAAGUCGAACGAGACGACGAUGUUUACAUCGUCAGAAAGUGGCGAACGGGUGAGUAACGCGUGGGUAACCUGCCCCAUGGAAAGGAAUAGCCUCGGGAAACUGGGAGUAAUGCCUUAUACGAUACAUCUGCCGCAUGGCUUUUGUAUGAAACGCUCCGGUGCCAUAGGAUGGACCCGCGUCCCAUUAGCUGGUUGGUGAGAUAACAGCCCACCAAGGCGACGAUGGGUAACCGGUCUGAGAGGGCGAACGGUCACACUGGAACUGAGACACGGUCCAGACUCCUACGGGAGGCAGCAGUGGGGAAUAUUUGUCAAUGGGCGAAAGCCUGAACAAGCGACGCCGCGUGGGCGAUGAAGGUCCUUGGAUCUUAAAGCCCUGUUCGGGGGAACGAAUGGAUCGGGAGCAAAUAGUUCCCGAUCUUUGACGGUACCUCCGCAGAAAGCCCCGGCUAACUACGUGCCAGCAGCCGCGGUAAUACGAGGGGGGCAAGCGUUGUUCGGAAUUAUUGGGCGUAAAGGGCGCGUAGGCGGUGCGGUAAGUCACCUGUGAAACCUCUGGGCUUAACUCAGAGCCUGCAG
Molecule: ribosomal RNA, 627 nt
Filed under: uncultured bacterium
Lineage: Bacteria
Description: bacterial SSU rRNA
Rfam family: Bacterial small subunit ribosomal RNA
Source: RNAcentral